AUUGAACGCUGGCGGCAUGCCUUACACAUGCAAGUCGAACGGCAGCACGGACUUCGGUCUGGUGGCGAGUGGCGAACGGGUGAGUAAUACAUCGGAACGUGCCCAGUCGUGGGGGAUAACGUAGCGAAAGCUUCGCUAAUACCGCAUACGAUCUAAGGAUGAAAGCGGGGGAUCGCAAGACCUCGCGCGAUUGGAGCGGCCGAUGGCAGAUUAGGUAGUUGGUAGGGUAAAGGCCUACCAAGCCGACGAUCUGUAGCUGGUCUGAGAGGAUGGUCAGCCACACUGGGACUGAGACAAGGCCCAGACUCCUACGGGAGGCAGCAGUGGGGAAUUUUGGACAAUGGGCGCAAGCCUGAUCCAGCCAUUCCGCGUGCAGGAUGAAGGCCUUCGGGUUGUAAACUGCUUUUGUACAGAACGAAAAGGCUCUGGUUAAUACCCGGGGCUCAUGACGGUACUGUAAGAAUAAGCACCGGCUAACUACGUGCCAGCCGCCGCUGUAA
RNAcentral lists this ribosomal RNA (500 nucleotides) under uncultured bacterium. Its description in RNAcentral is "partial 16S ribosomal RNA". It matches the Rfam family "Bacterial small subunit ribosomal RNA", at positions 30 to 523 of the family's 1533-position model. The record is from RNAcentral.